This 721-nucleotide unclassified non-coding RNA is filed under the name Hevea brasiliensis (rubber tree). The record is from RNAcentral. Lineage: Eukaryota; Viridiplantae; Streptophyta; Magnoliopsida; Malpighiales; Euphorbiaceae.
UUCCACAUUGCAUGCAUAAUUUCACUACAAAGCAUUGACACCAAUUUCAGUGAUGAAUGAUCCUUAAUUCAUCAUAAAAUAGCAUUUAUUUAAGUCUAGAAAUCUUUCCUUCCUAAUUUAUUAAUUAAACAUGUCGACACAGGGUUCUAAGCCCAGUAGGCAUUUGCAUGCAGGGUGUGUGGGCGUGUUAGAGAUAUAAACUAUUCUUGUAACUCUCAUCUAUCAGCUUGAACUUUCAAAUUGGACGGUUUCUUGACAAAUUAAAUAUGUGGGUGCAAAUAAUUAAAGAAAUAUUAUGUGAACUAAGCUGUAACUUUUAAUAUACAACCUAUAUAUGGAGCUAUCACAUAUUUAAAUACUUAGCUGACAACUAAAAGGGUUUGGUAUUUUGGUGGAGCCAAGAUUUGUGGAAGAUCGGAUGGCAAUCAUGUGGACUGUGGAAAUACAAAAGAUGAAAUGGUAACAAACUUGUUAACAGUCAAAACCAACCACAGAAUGAGAUGCGACUCUCACCUAACCACCAAAAUAUUUUUUUUCCUGUACAGUAAUAUUGACUAAUAUAUGUGGUAAACCAAUGAGAUCUCACCUGAAUUUAAUUACUUAGGCAAAUGGUUAUAGACUUAAUAAAGAAAUGCAAAUCCAUUUCUUUACUAGUUGAACAGUAAUAUAGCAGUUAAAGAAAGAAGGAAAACACUUACACAGUAACAGCAUGACCACCAAA